GCGUUCGGUGAUCUACGACGGCGUCGAGAUCACGGUUGCCGGCGGCGGUGAAUCGAUCAGCCUCGUGCAGAACGAGCACGCCAACAAGUUCCACGCCGUCGAUCCUGAACUGGUGAAGAUCAAGGGCGACGUCUAUAUGGCCCGAAGUGGUGUCGAAGCGCUACGGCAUUUCGCGCGAGAAGCAGGACGAAUACUCGCUGGAGAGCCAGCGCCGCACCGCUGCCGCGCAGCA
RNAcentral lists this unclassified non-coding RNA (232 nucleotides) under Hevea brasiliensis (rubber tree). Lineage: Eukaryota; Viridiplantae; Streptophyta; Magnoliopsida; Malpighiales; Euphorbiaceae. The record is from RNAcentral.